AUGAAGCUGUUCCUGGGAGUUAUUUUGGUGAUUUUGUGGCUUCCAGUGGACUGGGUAAACAGCCAAAAGAUGGAACAGAAUCCACAGUCCCUGAGCAUCCAGGAGGGUGAGAAGGCUGUGCUGAGCUGUAACUAUACGAAUUACUCUCCAGAGGUCUUCCAGUGGUACCGACAAGAUCUGGGAAGGAGCCUUGUCUUCUUGCUACUAAUACGUGAAAAUGAGGGUGAAAAACAGACAGGAAGACUGAGGGCCACCUUUGAUAAGACCAUCAAACAGAGUUCCUUAUAUAUCACGAAAUCCCAGCCUGCAGACUCUGCCACCUACGUCUGUGCUGCCGACACACAGCAGGACCCUGCCACCUGCUUCCUGCGCCCAAACUCUGCCAGCAACCCGGUCAACAGAGCUGCUGGCUGUGCUGACCUCAAGGGCUUGCCCCGGCUCCAGGCAUUUAAGUGGGGGCCCCUUGAAAGGAUUAAAGGGUGUGAGCCAGAGCCCUGGAUUGACCACGAGCUGGGGGGAUCUAUCUUGCAGCCUCGGAUUCUCUCACUGCUGAUACAACCCUGUGACUUUGAGCAACUCCUGAGGUUCACAGGUCUCAGUUGCCUCAUCGGAACAUGA
Non-coding RNA from Neomonachus schauinslandi (Hawaiian monk seal), 618 nucleotides. NCBI's taxonomy places the organism in Eukaryota, Metazoa, Chordata, Mammalia, Carnivora, Phocidae. The record is from the annotation of a RefSeq genome assembly.